CCGCUUUUGGAUGGGCCCGCGGCGCAUUAGCUAGUUGGUGGGGUAAAGGCUUACCAAGGCAAUGAUGCGUAGCCGAACUGAGAGGUUGAUCGGCCACAUUGGGACUGAGACACGGCCCAAACUCCUACGGGAGGCAGCAGUAGGGAAUCUUCCACAAUGGGCGAAAGCCUGAUGGAGCAACGCCGCGUGGGUGAAGAAGGUCUUCGGAUCGUAAAACCCUGUUGUUAGAGAAGAAAGUGCGUGAGAGUAACUGUUCACGUUUCGACGGUAUCUAACCAGAAAGCCACGGCUAACUACGUGCCAGCAGCCGCGGUAAUACGUAGGUGGCAAGCGUUAUCCGGAUUUAUUGGGCGUAAAGGGAACGCAGGCGGUCUUUUAAGUCUGAUGUGAAAGCCUUCGGCUUAACCGGAGUAGUGCAUUGGAAACUGGGAGACUUGAGUGCAGAAGAGGAGAGUGGAACUCCAUGUGUAGCGGUGAAAUGCGUAGAUAUAUGGAAGAACACCAGUGGCGAAAGCGGCUCUCUGGUCUGUAACUGACGCUGAGGUUCGAAAGCGUGGGUAGCAAACAGGAUUAGAUACCCUGGUAGUCCACGCCGUAAAC
RNAcentral lists this ribosomal RNA (600 nucleotides) under uncultured bacterium. RNAcentral describes it as "bacterial SSU rRNA". It matches the Rfam family "Bacterial small subunit ribosomal RNA", at positions 215 to 807 of the family's 1533-position model. The record is from RNAcentral.